UUCCCUAAUGACUUUCCCAUCUUCAGGCCAUCCUUUGUCAAGAAUCCAUGCCCAAACACCACCUUAGGGAGGCCUAGGCCAGCAGACAUCAGCAUAGCCGGCCAAUAAACUGCAUGAAAACGUAAAAUAUCCUUUCCAAUUAAAUGCAGUGAUGCAGGCCAGCCAGAAGAAACAGCACUUUGCAAAUUAGUUUGUUCCUUGUCCUCUGAUAAAGCUGAUAGAUAACCCAAUAAAGC
Molecule: unclassified non-coding RNA, 236 nt
Filed under: Hevea brasiliensis (rubber tree)
Lineage: Eukaryota; Viridiplantae; Streptophyta; Magnoliopsida; Malpighiales; Euphorbiaceae
Source: RNAcentral